GGGCCAUUAGCUCAGCUGGUAGAGCGGCAGACUCUUAAUCUGCAUGUCGAAGGUUCGAUCCCUUCAUGGCUCA
This 73-nucleotide transfer RNA is filed under the name Candidatus Avitreponema avistercoris. RNAcentral describes it as "tRNA-Lys". It matches the Rfam family "tRNA". From Rfam's summary of the family: Transfer RNA (tRNA) molecules are approximately 80 nucleotides in length. Their secondary structure includes four short double-helical elements and three loops (D, anti-codon, and T loops). Lineage: Bacteria; Pseudomonadati; Spirochaetota; Spirochaetia; Spirochaetales. The record is from RNAcentral.